CCUGAUCUAUGAUGAAUUUAAAACAAGAGGACUGUUGGAUGAAACUCGCGGAUAUGGGACUGAGAUCAGAU
Molecule: small nucleolar RNA, 71 nt
Organism: Gymnodraco acuticeps
Lineage: Eukaryota; Metazoa; Chordata; Actinopteri; Perciformes; Bathydraconidae
Product: small nucleolar RNA SNORD99
Exons: 1
Source: RefSeq, a predicted model, not a curated record